CGCCAGUGUAUAUCUAUGCUGCUGCGGUUAAAAAGCUCGUAGUUGGAUCUUCGUGCCAGAAACUGGUCCACCUUUUGGGUGUGCACUGGCUUUCGGCACUGAGUCGUCGGUUUUCCUUUGAUGCCCUUAACCGGGUGUCCUUGGUGGCUGACAUGUUUACUUUGAAAAAAUUAGAGUGUUCAAAGCAGGCCUACGCCUGAAUACAUUAGCAUGGAAUAAUAAAAUAGGACGUGUGGUUCUAUUUUGUUGGUUUCUAGAAUCAUCGUAAUGAUUAAUAGGGAUAGUUGGGGGCAUUAGUAUUCAGUUGCUAGAGGUGAAAUUCUUGGAUUUACUGAAGACUAACUACUGCGAAAGCAUUUGCCAAGGAUGUUUUCAUUAA
Molecule: ribosomal RNA, 379 nt
Filed under: uncultured eukaryote
Lineage: Eukaryota
Description: partial 18S ribosomal RNA
Rfam family: Eukaryotic small subunit ribosomal RNA
Source: RNAcentral